RNAcentral lists this ribosomal RNA (408 nucleotides) under uncultured bacterium. Its description in RNAcentral is "partial 16S ribosomal RNA". It matches the Rfam family "Bacterial small subunit ribosomal RNA", at positions 29 to 526 of the family's 1533-position model. The record is from RNAcentral.
AGUGAACGCUGGCGGCGUGCCUAAUACAUGCAAGUCGAACGGAGUGGCGCACGGGUGUGUAAUAUAUAUCUAAUCUGCCCCUUUCUGGAGGACUAAAGUUAGAAAUGACUGCUAAUACUCCAAAGAAAGGGCUGAGACUAUAUCGUAUCAGCUAGUCGGUGGGGUAACGGGCUACCGAGGCUAUGACGCGUAACUGGUCUGCGAGGAUGAUCAGUCACAUUGGAAGUGUGACACGGUGCAAAGUCCUACGGGAGGCGGCAGUAGGGGAUAUUGCGCAAGGGGGGGAACCGUGACGCAGCAACGCGGCGUGGAGGAUGACACGUUUCGGAGAGUAAGCUCCUGUUGUUAGGGUAACGGUACCUAACGAAUAAGCACCGGCUAACUCCGUGCCAGCAGCCGCGGUAAUAC